GGCUUUCAGGACUCGGUUCUUUCUCUCACCCUCUCACCUUCCACAACAGGAGGAUCCACAAGGAAGACCCUCACCAGAUGCCAGCACCUUGAUGUUAAACUUCCCAGUCUCCAGAGCUGUGCAAAAUACAUUUCUGUUCAUUAUAAAUUACCCAGUUUCAGGUAUUCUGUUAUAGCAGCACAGAACAGACUAAGACAGAGUGAAAGUUUGUUGUUGAUUUUCCUUUGGUGAGGCUGUGAGCUCUGUGGAUGGGUGUCUCGGGGAGAAGCAGGUCCUUCAGUUUGGGAGCACUGAGUUGAGAGAGCAGCAACAAGGAACCAAGCAGAUGCUGUGCCCAGGACUCCUGGCUACCGAGAGGCCAGCAGGAAAGAGAAAUGCCGCAGGAGUCGCAGAUGGAUAAGCAGGAAAGUGAGAAGAACCUAUAAGAAAUAAAACUUGGAGUGAUCAUCUGCGAGCAGGCAGUCACAGCCACAAAAGCAACAGUCGCUUCAGUGGCAGCGCCGGCAGCCAGGGGCUUUCAGGUGUUUCCCGCCAAGGUGCUCCGGAGACAUGGAACAGACGCCACAUGAGGGAUUUUGUACCUCGAUAGACUUGAUGACAGUUUUUUUUAAAAGGCAGGAGAAGGGGAGCUGGAGAGGGGAGCAUUGUAGCCCCAGCCCAGGCUUGAAGGUUGGGACUAAACAAAGUGAUGACUGGUAGAAUAACAGCUCACACUUACUGAGCUCUUACUGCCUGGCAAGCUCUCUUCUGUGUUCUUUUUUCUUUAUUUAUAUUUUGAACUUUUAUUUGAAGUUCAGGGGUACAUGUGUGGGUUUGUUAUAUAGGUAAACUUGUCAUGAGAGUUUGUUGUAGUUUAUUUUGUGGUACUAAGCCUAGUACCCAUUACUUAUUUUUCCUAAUCCUCUCCCUUCUUCCAUUCUCCAGCCCCAGUGUGUGCUGUUCCCCUCGAUGUGUCCAUGUGUUCUUAUUAUUUAGCGCCCACUCAUAAGUGAGAACAUGCAGCAUUUGGAUUUCUGUUCCUGUGUUAGUUUUGCUGAAGGACAAUGACCCCCGGCUCCAUCUGUGUCCCUGCAGAGAACAUGAUCUUGCACAUUCUUAUCACCGCAGAGUAUUCCAUGCUGUGUAUGUUGCCUUAAUUCAUCGGCUCUUUAUGACAACCCUGGGACAUAUGUCCUACUGUUAUCCCCACAUCGGCACAUGAGAACACUGGUCAUCCAGAGGUUAAGAAACAUUUCUAAGGUCACAGAGCUAGUGCAAGGUAGGAAUGGAAUGAGCAGCCCAGAGAGCACUGGAUUAAACACUGUGCUAAACACCCACAGGCAAUGGAGAGGAAAUGCAUUAGAUUUGUUAUAUGGAAAUCUGUCUUUAAAUAAUACCAUCUUCAGAUAUAUCAUUGUGAAAAUUACCUAGAAAUAUAUACACUAAUAUGUUUUAAAAAGAAUAAAGAAUAUUCUUUUACUUAAUGUGUUCUUAAAUGAAAUAAGUAUCUUUCAGUUUAGAUUUUGAAACAAGUGUUGUUUUGGGACUCUGUUCACUGACAUAGUAUUUAGAACUUUUGCAUCAAUAUUUGUAAGUGGUAUUAGUCUGUAAUCUAAUUUCACUGUGCUGUGUUUAUCAGGUUAUAUCCAUUUUAUACUUUAUAAAGCUAAUUUGAAUAUUUUAUUUAUGUUCAUUGGCUGCAGCAAUUUAUGUAUCAUUUGAAUUAUUUCAUCUUUGAAUGUUUGUUGGAAUUCACCUGUGAAACUAUUCAGGGCUGGGUGUGGUGGCUCAUGCCUGUAAUCCCAGCACUUUGGGAGGCCGAGGCAGGCAGAUUGCCUGAGGUCAAGAGUUCGAGACUAACCUGGUCAACAUGGUGAAACCCAAUCUCUGCUGUACAAAAAGAGCUGGGUAUGGUGACACGUGCCUGCAAUCCCAGGUAGUCAGGAGGCUGAAGCCAGAGAAUCGCUUGAACCCGGGAGGUAGAGGUUGCAGUGAGCCAAGAUCGCACCACUGCACUCUAGCCUGGGUGACAGAGCGAGAACCCUUCUCAAAAGGAAGAAAAACAAAAGAAACUAUUGGAACCUGGUACCGUUUUUGUGUGUGUGGAAUGGUAGAAUCUUGAUAAUUUUCUCCAUUUCUGUUGUUAGAAUUGGUCUGUUUAAACUUUCUGUUUCUACUGGCAUCAAUUUUGGGAACCUGCUUUUCCCUAGGAAGUUACCCAUUUCACAUGGUUUCACUGUUUAUGUUUAUAGAUGUGUGCAAAUAGCCAAUUAAACAAUUUUUC
Molecule: long non-coding RNA, 2263 nt
Filed under: Homo sapiens (human)
Lineage: Eukaryota; Metazoa; Chordata; Mammalia; Primates; Hominidae
Description: HSALNT0183901
Source: RNAcentral